Molecule: long non-coding RNA, 2011 nt
Organism: Triticum aestivum (bread wheat)
Lineage: Eukaryota; Viridiplantae; Streptophyta; Magnoliopsida; Poales; Poaceae
Exons: 4
Source: RefSeq, a predicted model, not a curated record
ACAACUGACCCAUCAACACAUGAUGACCGGCCCAUCCCCAACUUUUCCUGGCCUUCCCGACCCCGCGCACCACCGUGCAUCUCCCCGCCGCGCGCCGCCGUACAUCCCGACACCUGCUCCUGCCGGCGUCGCCUGAGGCCACCGCCAGCCUCCCCUCGACACCACGCGCCGACGACCACCACCAACUUCCCCCUGAGGCGUCGCGCCGCCGGCCACCACCAACCUCCCCCAGACGCCGCGCGCCAACCGCCACCACCAUCCUCCCCCACGCCUCGCGCCUCCGGCCACCACCAACCUCCCCCGGACGCCGCGCGCCGACGAUCACCACCUUAAUUUAGUCCGACGGGCUGGUGGGAUCGACCACCUCCUCCGGCGACCCCUCUGCUGACCUCCUGUCGUUGCCCCGCUACAAUCUUUCUCCCGCGGCCGCGCCCGAUCCAAUGUCGCCGGCUUCCGCCGUGCGCCACCCAUGCCGACAGCAAGGCGACACCCACCUGUAGCACAACCUCCCACACCACCCUGGCUUCCCCACCUACAACACAACCUCUCGUCCGUGCAGCCACGCAGUCCAACUGCGUGCGACAUCCCUGUUCGACCUCUCCAGCCUUUGCAACCCCGUGUCCCGCCACCGUCCCGUGGGUAGUCCAACCUGAGGCCACGGAUGUGUGGACAGAGACGGCGUGGUUUGAGAGGAAGAAGAAGGCAUUACGGCGAACUUAGUCGCGGAUGGAUCAAUCGAGCCGAGGUGCCCCUGCAAGUCUCUCUCACACGCAAAUUAUGCUGUGCCACCAUAGGGAACUAGCCCAUCCUUAUCUUACGGAAGUGGAUCUCAAUGGUUUGAAGGGUACUACAGUUAAAAGUGGCUGGGAAUUAAAGUUCAAGUUAGGUAACUACAAGGUCUAUAUGAAUUGUAACCUAUUGAUUAUAGAGUUUGUGUGUUUUCAUGUUUACUGCAAGAGAAACUCCUCCAUCCUGUCCCCUGUCGCAGCCCAACCGCUUGCUGCCAACGUGCUCUAACCCUAGUGCCUCCAUGAUGGAGGUCGUCUCACAGCCUAGCGACGAGGUAACUCAUCUUCCUUGUCCCUCUCUCUCAAUAUUUUGCAGACCACCAUUUUCUUUAGUAAUUAAUAAUGCCGUAGUCCAGUGUGUUGAUCUUCUCCAGUCCAAUGUGUUCUUGGCUGGCUGGAUACUCUAGCUGUCUGUUGUUUUUCAUUCGGUUCAGGUUGCUCUGGGAUUUGUCCAUGUUCAGAAGGGAGGUAAUUAACUUGGGUGUCCAGUUCUGAAGCUGGAGUAGUACAUACUGUAUAAAUGAGCAAAACCCCAAUCAAACUUUAAUAAGUGCGUACAAAUAAAAAAUGUUGCAUUGUACUAAUAAAAAACAGAGGGAAUACAUGAUGUAUUCAUGCUCCUAGCUACAUACAGUAGUAUGUACUGCUUCUCAAAAGCAGGAGACUGGAAAUGUAUUCCGCUCUUUUGCUGGUAGUACUUGUGAUUUGGCUUCUAAAUUUUAUAAGCUGCUGAUGAACUCAAUGUACGACUAACCUGCAACUGUGAUAUUGGUGAGUUUCAAAUUAUGAAAGCAGCACAAACAUUUAUAACGUUCUAUGGUUGACAAAAUGAAAUUUUACUACCUACAGGACUUGUGUGUGCUCAGGUUCUCCUCGCAUGUCACUCCGUCGUUGUUGUCUCUCCUGGAUGUUGUCUGCAGCUGGACGUCGUCCGCUGGCUGCUCCUGCACAGGCUGCUUCAAGUGAAGUAUGAUUCGGAAAACUGUGCGAAGUAUGAUUCAGGAAACAUACUUCAUGGGCAUUCCUCAUCAUAGAUUCAGGAAACCAAUGUUAUCUUGUAUAGAUGGUGUCAACAAAAAGAAAAAAGAAAAUGUGUUCUCACGUUUCUGAUUAGUGUGCCCACUAGAUGUUUCCAGAAAAGAAAAAGAAGAAAUGUAGUUGAAGUUGUUCUCUAGUACAAGACACUUAUGGAAAAGAAGAAGAAAUGCAAAACUUACAAACAA